This 468-nucleotide ribosomal RNA is filed under the name uncultured bacterium. RNAcentral's name for it is "partial 16S ribosomal RNA". It matches the Rfam family "Bacterial small subunit ribosomal RNA", at positions 28 to 507 of the family's 1533-position model. The record is from RNAcentral.
GACGAACGCUGGCGGCGUGCUUAACACAUGCAAGUUGAGCGGAAAGGCCCUGCUUUUGUGGGGUGCUCGAGUGGCGAACGGGUGAGUAACACGUGAGUAACCUGCCCUUGACUUUGGGAUGACUUCAGGAAACUGGGGCUAAUACCGGAUAGGAGCUCCUGCUGCAUGGUGGGGGUUGGAAAGUUUCGGCGGUUGGGGAUGGACUCGCGGCUUAUCAGCUUGUUGGUGGGGUAGUGGCUUACCAAGGCUUUGACGGGUAGCCGGCCUGAGAGGGUGACCGGCCACAUUGGGACUGAGAUACGGCCCAGACUCCUACGGGAGGCAGCAGUGGGGAAUAUUGCACAAUGGGCGGAAGCCUGAUGCAGCAACGCCGCGUGCGGGAUGACGGCCUUCGGGUUGUAAACCGCUUUCGCCUGUGACGAAGCGUGAGUGACGGUAAUGGGUAAAGAAGCACCGGCUAACUACGUG